AACAAAGAAAGAAUGUUUAUUAUACUUUAUAGUAUCUAUAUACAAAUUUUGAAUAUUGAGAAACAUUCUGAGAGAGCAUUCAAAUGUACUGCUCGAAUAUACAAAGCUCAAUUAGUAUAAUAAUAAUAAUAAUACCGUAAUAACAAUAAUAAUAAACUGAAAUGGAAAAACAAAGAAAAUAUGGAAACCUUAGCUUAGAGAUUAAGCAGUUAUGGAAGUUGUCUAAAAUAAUAAUAUUCUCUGUUGCUAUAUCAUCUAAGGGGAUAAUGACAACUGACCUCGCAGAUACCUUCAAGGCCCUUAUCAGAGGGUGGUAUCGCUGCAGACCUGCCACAUCACUAGAAAAUUCCAAAGGGAACACUAUUAAAGGCACUAAGAUGAAUUUUAUUUCUCUCUAACGAAACUCGAACCUGGCAGUGCCAGAGAAUGAAUAUUAGUUCGUUUGCAACAUAAAUAACUACAUUUCUAUGAAGAUUUUCAUCACUUGUCAGAAAACUUUACAGCUGCAAACUUGCCAUAUCACAAGAAAAAUGUAUCUUAUAGUGACAAUAUGAAACAAGUUUUGUAAAAAUAUUAAUAACAAUAAACUCACAGCGUCAAAAGACAACACCAAUUGUAAACAAAAAAAAAACACUACACUUUAAGACUAAGAGACAAUGAAUAUGGAAUGUUGUCAAUUACUAAGUGGUACUGCUGUUUGACUACCACAGCAUAAGAGGACAUUGUUAAGGAGACAACAUUGAAUUUUGUUUCCCUCUAACA
This is a non-coding RNA of Biomphalaria pfeifferi, 762 nucleotides long. The record is from the annotation of a GenBank genome assembly. NCBI's taxonomy places the organism in Eukaryota, Metazoa, Mollusca, Gastropoda, Planorbidae.